GCUGCUGACAAAAACAUAUACGACGUGUCAAUACUUAGAAACAUUCUCCAUGAAAAUAUCUAAAAUGACAAUUAACUUGAAUAUACUCAGUUGUGGUUUCCCUCAAAGUAAUUUGCAUACUGUUUCCUUCAAAUAAAUGGAUUUACACAAAAAUGUCCCCAGCUUUUAUUUACUAAUCCUGAAGGAAAUUUAUUACCACAUGUAUCACCUCCAAAAGAUUCAAUGGCUUUCUCUGUCGCCUUCUGAAUUCACUGAUAUCUGCUUCAUAUAUACUCUGGCUUGUCUUCACUCAAGCUUAAAGGCCACAUCAUACUCUUGAAAACACACAUUUUCCAGAGGGUUCUUCUGUAUAUGGUCUGAUGUGUAGCCAUCUACUGACCCUUUCAGAGUUUCUAUAAAAGGGAGAACCUUCUUACCUCACAGUGCCAUUGUAAGGAUUAAAACUGCAUGUUCCAGAAGUGCUGGCACACGAGACAGGAUCAUUCUCCUCCUCCACAGUGAACAUUUAUGGACUAACCAACUGUACGCGCAAAGCAGACUGACCGAGAAGAGCUAUACUUGGCAUUCAUGGCAGGUACCAUGUUUCCAGUUUCUCAGUUUUCUCAAGUUUUCUUGACCCAAACUGGUUUUCUAGUUUAAGCGGACCCUUUCUUCAACCAAAAAGAUAAUGUGGGAAGAGCUUACCAAGCCUUCUUAAUUGGAAUCUGUCAAAAGAACCUCUGACCUACCUAAGAACUAUGAGCUCAGAGCAACAAUAACAGGGAAAAAGGAACCUCAGCUACGUAAUCACAGAUUGCAAACUUCUGGUUCAGAAUGUGUGGUAAUUAUGACCGCAUAUUCCUAAAGCUGAAAGUCUUAACGGGAGUAAUGCACACAUAAAAUUAUGCUAGAAAUCAGAACACAAUGCCAGAAAAUAUUACUUAUGAGAUUAUACAGGUUCAAAACAUGAGAUGAUUACAGCUAUAAGAGACACAGGAAAAUCAGUUCUUUCAGGAGCUAUCAGCUAAAAUGAGCUAGGAGCCAGUGGAUUACUUCUUGGAUAACCUCUAAGGAAAAAAAAAUGCUGUUCGGCACUCGAAGGAAAUGAACUAUCAACCCAUGAAAAGGCAUAGAGGAAACUUAAAUGCAUACUACUAAGUGAAAGAAACCAACCUGAAUAGUCUGAAAACAGUAUGAUUUCAACUAUAUGACAUUUUGGAGAAGGCAAACUAUGGAGGCAGUAAAAAGAUCAGCAGCUGCCAGGGCAUUCCACUAGGCUCUGCGAUAUGGAGACGGGCCCCUUUGAACACUGCUCGGUGACCAGCAGCACCAGGUUAAGCUCUGUCAGUGCAGGGAGCUGGAGAUCCGCUGGAGGAGAGAGGGUUUUCGCCUCC
This is a long non-coding RNA of Felis catus (domestic cat), 1373 nucleotides long. RefSeq lists it as uncharacterized. Lineage: Eukaryota; Metazoa; Chordata; Mammalia; Carnivora; Felidae. The record is from RefSeq and is a predicted model, not a curated record. The transcript is spliced from 3 exons.